Molecule: ribosomal RNA, 504 nt
Filed under: uncultured bacterium
Lineage: Bacteria
Description: partial 16S ribosomal RNA
Rfam family: Bacterial small subunit ribosomal RNA
Source: RNAcentral
AUUGAACGCUGGCGGCAGGCCUAACACAUGCAAGUCGGACGGUAGCACAGAGAGCUUGCUCUCGGGUGACGAGUGGCGGACGGGUGAGUAAUGUCUGGGGAUCUGCCCGAUAGAGGGGGAUAACCACUGGAAACGGUGGCUAAUACCGCAUAACGUCGCAAGACCAAAGAGGGGGACCUUCGGGCCUCGCACUAUCGGAUGAACCCAGAUGGGAUUAGCUAGUAGGCGGGGUAACGGCCCACCUAGGCGACGCUCCCUAGCUGGUCUGAGAGGAUGACCAGCCACCCUGGAACUGAGACACGGUCCAGACUCCUACGGGAGGCAGCAGUGGGGUAUAUUGCACAAUGGGCGCAAGCCUGAUGCAGCCAUGCCGCGUGUAUGAAGAAGGCCUUCGGGUUGUAAAGUACUUUCAGCGGGGAGGAAGGCGAUGUGGUUAAUAACCGCAUUGAUUGACGUUACCCGCAGAAGAAGCACCGGCUAACUCCGUGCCAGCCGCCGCCGUAA